Pseudophryne corroboree (corroboree frog) is the source of this 1259-nucleotide long non-coding RNA. RefSeq lists it as uncharacterized. The record is from RefSeq and is a predicted model, not a curated record. The transcript is spliced from 6 exons. NCBI's taxonomy places the organism in Eukaryota, Metazoa, Chordata, Amphibia, Anura, Myobatrachidae.
UAACAUCAGUGGACUCUACAGCUAUGAAGUGAAAGACCAGUAAUUGGAACCUAGUGCUCCCUGGUCACCAUUUUCUAUGACAAGCCUAAAUAUGCGGCCCAAAUACUGAUGGACCCAACUGUACCGACAACAGCUGUGUCAUCAGCACAUUUCACCACCUUAACAAAUUCAGAGGCUGAAAAACAAUCAUGCGUAAAUAAGGAAUACAAUAAUGGGCUCAGGACACAUCCCUGUGGUACCUUGAUAAAGGCUCCUAGUGGAGCAGAAACGCGUUGGUGAGCUGAUCAGGGAGACUGCGGCAGACCAGGUUACCGAAUUGGACACUGCAGGUCCAGGGACGAACACGGCACCAAAGAAACCCGGGAGUGCCCUUGUGGAUAUGCACUUUCAUCCUGUUACACCCAAAGAGCUGCCCAACCUGUUUUGUCCGUUUCUCUAUUAACCAACUUUGAGGAUGCGAACAACAUCUUUGACUGGGAGGUUGGAGUCCAUGGCAUCUGGAUAGAGUUUUCAGACGAGGAGGGGGUAAAACAAACUGCCACCUACCUGCCAAAUGUAGCCAUGGACCAAGGUACUGCAGUGAGAAAGUGACCGUCAGUUACCAGGAAUACCUGGCCUCCCGCCUGCCCCCACUGCAAAUGAAGGAGAAAACAGGAGAGAGGCUGUCACAGGCAAGAGUUGAAGAAGAGAUGAAAAAAUGCUGGAAAUCCACUUGAGAGAGCAAACCAUCACCAAGCUUCUCUGCUGUGAAGCAGAAACUGUGACCGUCUCCUGCACGAUUAGCCCCCAGACCCAUACUGCAGCCAGCCCCCUGAUGAAACAACACUGGGUCCGGGUGUCCUCACUCCCCUCUCAGGUACCAACCAGGCCCCAAGCAGGAGAAGACAGUUGGUGGCGACAGCUUGUAUGGGCUUCUGCUGGCUUUAGUAUCACCUGCAUGGCUUCCCACAGCCACGUCUGCAACAUCUCACCAAUGAUCAGUAGUAAGCAUAUCUCCUUACCUAUCUACUUCAUGAAGGAGCACAAGUAGGUGACAUCAUCCAGGAGAUCUGAUAUGGGAGCUGAUAACUGUAUGUACUAAGAGGUUUAUUCAGAUCGCAUCGCUAAGCUAUGCUACCGCAAUAUCCCUGUUGUUGGCAUCAUUGCUGCAUGCGUUUGGGUUGCAAUGGGUGUGAACACCUCUGCCUGAUUGACAGGCAAAGGCAUUCGCAGGGUGGGUGCGGGGUGGCGACGGACCGUUGCGAGGAAGGCAUGGGGAA